This is a long non-coding RNA of Oncorhynchus tshawytscha (Chinook salmon), 2603 nucleotides long. Lineage: Eukaryota; Metazoa; Chordata; Actinopteri; Salmoniformes; Salmonidae. The record is from Ensembl.
CCUGGCAGCAGUAAGAAGUAGCAGGCAGGCAGGCAGCAGGCUAAAUUAGGCUGUCUCAUUGACUUCCACUCCCCAGAGCCCUGUAGGCAGACCUAAGGCUGCACCAGAGGCCCUUAUUGCCUGCUGCGCUACUGUGUCUCUGAGAGUCCCUGAAGAACCUCAGUCCCUGUGAAGGAGCUAAGUGUAGGUCAGUUGUAUCUGGAUAGAGGAGUGUUGUACUUUUGAAAGGGUGUUUUGGGAUUUUCUUGGGAUGCCGAUUGAUAACGGAUGUUCACAGACCUGACUAGAGCAAGGUGGGGAUGUGCUGAGUGCUGCUCUCCUCUCAAUAUUGACUUCAGAAGGCCAGUCUGUCUCCUGUCUCUACCCCUGUGACAGAUUGACGGGCUUGGCACUGAAGGUCUGAUAUACAAAUGCACUUCUGAACAGGAACUUGGGGUCCCUCAGUCCAGCAGUGAAUUUCAAACAGAGAUUCAACCACAAAGACCAGGGAGGCUUUCCAAUGCAUCGCAAAGAAGGUCACCUACAGUAUUGAUCAAUUUUAAAACAAUUUUAAAACAUACAUUGUAUUUAUAUACAAUACCAGUCAAAAGUUUUGAAACACCUACUCAUUCAAAGGUGUUUCUUUAUGUUUGACUAUUUUCUACAUUGUAGAAUAAUAGUGAAGACAUCCACACUAUGAAAUAACACAUAUGGAAUCAUGUAGUAACCAAAAAAGUGUUAAAGAAAUUAAAAUAUUUUAUAUUUGAGAUACUUUCAAGUAGCCACCCUUUGCCUCUAUGACAGCUUUGCACACUCUUGGCAUUAUCCACAAUCUAAAUGUGUUUAUUCAACUUUCUUGUUAUUUUUCUGUUUGAUGGAAACAGUAUGAGAGUUUUAACUACAUUCCAUCUGUAGUCAAUUGUUUUAUGUAGUUGCUUUUUCAUGUUUUGAAUGUUGUAUUGUAGUAACCCUCAAGCUUUUUUUUCUCCAUAGUGUAAGGACUAUUUCAUCACGCAGAAUGUUUAUACUUAAAAAUAUGUAACUUUGUGCAGCAUCUAUAAUCGAAAUGUGUUUAUCCAACUUUCUUGUUGUUUUUCUGUUUGACUUUGUAUGGGCAUUUAUUUGACUUAUAUUGUGGUUGAUACGCAACAACAAAAAAUACUUCAUAAUAAGAUAAUACAUCAGUUAUCUACCGACAACAAAUUUGGCUAGACAGCAAAUAAACUUUAAACACCAUUUUUCUCAGUUUCAAUGUUUGCGUAGUAACUUAAGUUACUGCUUGAUUGCCUUGGUUUUUACUCAGAUUAUAUGGUUACUGCACUUUUAACACUCAAUUUUCUCUGAAACAGAACAGAAUUGAACCAGGACACUUCAUCACAAGAUAAAACACAUAAUACAAAGCCUGAUUUCAGUCUUAACUCAAUUUUCACCAAAAGUCUAGUUACUAUAUUUUGCCUUUGUAGGGCAGUAUAGUCUACACAUGUUUUAUGCAUGUCGUUUGUGGUUAUUGUCGGCCACUAAAGGUGGUCUGCACUACGGCCAGAGGUUCCGUGUGUAACAACGCAAAGUGGGAGAUCUCUAAUCAAUGCAAAAUGGAAUUAAAAUGGCGUAAUUACGUUAGCUAAAUGAGAAGGAGUAAGCUACAAUGAGCAACCAACAGGCAGGCUGUUGUUUAAACUGAAUAGAGUUGUUGUAACAUUAGACAAGGACGGAGAGCGCAGCAGAAUAGCCCCAUCUACCCUAGCUAGCUAGCUAGCUAACAUUGGCGGAUGUGGUUGAUUAAGACGUAGCCCAUGAAACAAAAAACACAUAUCUCUAGCUUAAACAGACAGUUUUAUAUUGGAAUGCUAAUACCCUUUCCAAGGGGGUGCGGACAUCGACUCUAGGGUUUUAAAUGUAGAGAAAUAUCCUCUGUGGUUAUGACAUAGAGAAGGGAUUGAGGACUGAGAGGAAAUGUCCGCAAUCGAAAUGGAGAAAUAAAGAGAUAAAUGGAGUGAGUACAAAAUACUGGCGCGAUGCAUCAAUCACCCUGCACCUCUAUUACAGGUCAAAGCAUACUAUUCCUCCAAUCUGGGUCAGAGUGACCUGGCCUGCAUUGACCAAUAGGCUUUCAACGGACCCAUAUGGGGCCCCAGUUUCUCAUCUAGAACAGAUAAUCAUAUCAAAGCUAAUUAAAAGCAGCCAUUUUGACUCAAACGUGAAUGAAUCUGUUUCUAUGUGUGGUGUGUGAUCGGUUACCAUGUGUGUGAGCAGUAAUGGAGAAAACUGAUGUCCAUCAAAGUUAAAAUUUGUGCGGUUGGAACUACCCAGCACUAGCUCUCAAGUUUCUAAUUUCAGUCCAGCUAGGAGCUAGUAUGCUCUUGAGAGAGAGAGAGAGAGAAUUGUAGAAGGAAGCUAGAGAAGGAAAUCAAGAAUGAGGGAGAAAGAAAGAACAAGAGUGCUUUGAAGUGUUUGCGGAGUUGAAGCCAGUUAGUCCUCUAGCUGGGGCUGUCAGAGAUUGUCACCCUGGGUUUAGGCCAAGCCGUGUAAAUUAGAGGUGACUUAUCACCAGCUCUAGUUAGACUGGCCUACAACGCUCUGCGCCGAUCUGCUGCUAACAGGCAAAGCUCAUCACAUCAUCCAUG